RNAcentral lists this ribosomal RNA (281 nucleotides) under uncultured prokaryote. RNAcentral's name for it is "partial 16S ribosomal RNA". It matches the Rfam family "Bacterial small subunit ribosomal RNA", at positions 524 to 803 of the family's 1533-position model. The record is from RNAcentral.
UACGUAGGGGGCUAGCGUUAUCCGGAAUUACUGGGCGUAAAGGGUGCGUAGGUGGUUUCUUAAGUCAGAGGUGAAAGGCUACGGCUCAACCGUAGUAAGCCUUUGAAACUGGGAAACUUGAGUGCAGGAGAGGAGAAUGGAAUUCCUAGUGUAGCGGUGAAAUGCGUAGAGAUUAGGAAGAACACCAGUGGCGAAGGCGAUUCUCUGGACUGUAACUGACGCUGAGGCUCGAAAGCGUGGGGAGCAAACAGGAUUAGAUACCCCCGUAGUCCCUGAGCGGG